CUCUGGGUGCACAAAAUAUUAUUUAUUGGGUCUAAUGCAUUUUGAAUCAAAUUUUCCUAGGGGUCCUGUAAAAUAAAGCCCUCUGUGUUCUGCACUCUCCCAGUACUCUUUUGCAAAAUGAAUCACUUUUCAAGAGGGUAAUUAGAGAGUACACAACACAGAGUGAGGUAUUUUACAGUACCCCAGAGGAAGAUUUCAUUCAAAAUGCAGUGGGCCUAAUAAAUGAUAUUUUGCGUAUUAGAGGU
Non-coding RNA from Podarcis lilfordi (Lilford's wall lizard), 245 nucleotides. NCBI's taxonomy places the organism in Eukaryota, Metazoa, Chordata, Lepidosauria, Squamata, Lacertidae. The record is from the annotation of a GenBank genome assembly.